CAAAGUCCUCAACUUUUAAUCUCAGCCCUUCAAGUUCACUAAAAUCUUCUAGAGAGGGAGGUUUUUUUACGGUUUUCGUUUCCUUGAAUCUCUCCCCACGUCUUCUCCAAACGUCUUCAAAAGACGGAAUGUGUGCCAUCCCUCCUCUGUCUUCCUCACUUGUGCUUAUCGCCCUCACCAACUCCCUCCUCCUUAGUCUUCACCAAUCCUUACGCAUUGUCUCUUCUAUUUCUCUCUCAUCUUCAUCCAUUUACGCUUACGGAUUGCAAAACAAGGAACAAGCAAAGAUAUGGGUUUUCUUUCAAACAGAGUUUGGAGUAUUUACGUUGGAGUUCUGCGGUGGUGCGAACGGUUAUUGAUUGUUUCAACUCCAUUUUUGCUUUAGGGUUUAAGAGGUGUCUGGAAGCCACUGAUCAACAAAACCUCCAUCAACAACUGAAUAUCAAAGUCAAAUUUUUUUGAUAUGUCCAUUGUGUUGCAGAAUAAAGCUUUUGAAUAUGGAAAAUAUCAUAUUGAUUCUGCAACGCUUGAAAAUGGAUCAAGUUUGACAGCAAAUGUCUUGCCCUUGCCCUCAAGAAGGUAAGCGAUGAUAGAUUUGAAGAUAAGUUCAACAACAAAAAAGCAAAGAUUAGGGAUUGUAUCAAGAUAGUCGAUGGGAAUAUUAAUUAGAAGUGGAUCUUAGAUCAUACCAGUUAACAUGAGAAAGAUGAGUUGGAGAAAAUGGUGAUAUAUUUGGAACCAAUCAGAGUUGGCAUUGAGCAAGAUGAAUGGUUUCUGGAGAAUAACAGAAAUUAAAUGGUUUCU
Molecule: long non-coding RNA, 804 nt
Organism: Helianthus annuus (common sunflower)
Lineage: Eukaryota; Viridiplantae; Streptophyta; Magnoliopsida; Asterales; Asteraceae
Exons: 3
Source: RefSeq, a predicted model, not a curated record